RNAcentral lists this ribosomal RNA (403 nucleotides) under uncultured bacterium. Its description in RNAcentral is "partial 16S ribosomal RNA". It matches the Rfam family "Bacterial small subunit ribosomal RNA", at positions 29 to 526 of the family's 1533-position model. The record is from RNAcentral.
AUUGAACGCUGGCGGCAGGCUUAACACAUGCAAGUCGAGCGAGCGGCGGACGGGAGAGGAAUGUAAGGGGACUGCCCGAUAGAGUGGGAUAACUACUGGAAACGGUAGCUAAUACCGCAUACUAUCGGAUAACCCAUAUGGGAUUAGCUAGUAGGUGAGGUAAUGGCUCACCUAGGCGACGAUCCCUAGCUGGUCUGAGAGGAGGAUCAGCCACACUGUGACUGGGACACGAACCAGACGCCUACGGAGGCAGCAGUGGGGAAUGUUGCACAGUGGGCGCAAGCCUGGUGCAGCCGUGCCGAGUGUAUGAAGGAGGCCCUAGGGUUGUAAAGUACUUUCAGGCGGGAGGCGUUACCGACAGAAGAAGCACCGGCUAACUCCGUGCCAGCAGCCGCGGUAAUAC